Molecule: long non-coding RNA, 668 nt
Organism: Phyllopteryx taeniolatus (common seadragon)
Lineage: Eukaryota; Metazoa; Chordata; Actinopteri; Syngnathiformes; Syngnathidae
Exons: 2
Source: RefSeq, a predicted model, not a curated record
UUAGGUCUUAUAGAAGCAAAACGUGAAGUCAGUCUCCCGCUUGGAAAACAUUUCCCCCUCUAAUCCAAGGCGUCACUAAUUGUUGGGAAUGUGAGACGGCGAGAAAUCAUGUGAGUCAUACGCUGCAAGAGUGUGUCAACGUCAACAUGGGCUUAUAAGGACAAAAUUCAGGCGGCCGGCGCGGGACAAAAGUGGGCAAUAGAAAGUCCUCGCUAUAUUAGCUUCAGUGAGUAUUUUGCGUGUGCUACGUGUUUUGUUUGGUUGCCGUGGCGACGCCAGAGUCUGCCAGGUGAGAUACAGAUGGGAGAGCAUGUUACGUGCGUCAAUGUAAACAUCACGGGAAAGGCCACUUCCUGGUUUGUGGCGGAUGAUCUCAUACGCUAACAAUGAGCAACAACUGCAACAACAACAAAAAAAUCUGAAAACCGCAACGAGCGUACUCACGAGCAAACGAACGAGAGAAAACAAGCUUCAGAAGAGUCCCGUCCUCUGACCGAGUGAUUGCUCAAGUCCAUUUUGAAGUUACUCCUUCCGAACCCGCAGAGGAGAACGAGGAACGACGGACAAAUUAACUCCAAGCGGGACGACGCGUUUGUUACAAACCGGGAAAGCCGUCCUUUGAGCAGAUCCGUUGUAAAUCUUAAUUCCGAUUAAAUGUCCCCUUUGGU